UGGGGAGUGGUGUAAUGGUAGCCCACCGGCCUUUGGAGCCGUGAGGUGCUGGUUCGAAUCCAGCCUCCCCAG
RNAcentral lists this transfer RNA (72 nucleotides) under Solirubrobacterales bacterium. RNAcentral's name for it is "tRNA-Gln". It matches the Rfam family "tRNA". From Rfam's summary of the family: Transfer RNA (tRNA) molecules are approximately 80 nucleotides in length. Lineage: Bacteria; Bacillati; Actinomycetota; Thermoleophilia; Solirubrobacterales. The record is from RNAcentral.